This 1288-nucleotide ribosomal RNA is filed under the name Transversotrema witenbergi. Its description in RNAcentral is "eukaryotic LSU rRNA". It matches the Rfam family "Eukaryotic large subunit ribosomal RNA", at positions 34 to 962 of the family's 3401-position model. The record is from RNAcentral. Lineage: Eukaryota; Metazoa; Platyhelminthes; Trematoda; Azygiida; Transversotrematidae.
UUAAGCAUAUCACUAAGCGGAGGAAAAGAAACUAACAAGGAUUCCCCUAGUAACUGCGAGUGAAGAGGGAUUAGCCCAGCACCGAAGGUAGUAUCCGUUUGGGUACCUACCAAUGUGGUGUUUUGGUCAGCUUGUAUGAGUGCGGCUCCAUCUCAAGUCCAGCAAUGAGUACGGUUUUUUGGACUUGGCCCAGAGCGGGUGAAAGGCCCGUUGAGGUGGAGAUCAGGUAUGACCGCGCUUGUCUUGUUUGACCAUGGAGUCGGGUUGUUUGUGAAUGCAGCCCUAAGUGGGUGGUAAACUCCAUCCAAGGCUAAAUACUUGCACGAGUCCGAUAGCGAACAAGUACCGUGAGGGAAAGUUGAAAAGUACUUUGAAGAGAGAGUAAACAGUGCGUGAAGCCGCAUAGAGGUUAAACGGGUAGAGUUAAGCUGCGUGGGUCAUGGAUUCAGCUGGUGAACUUGACUUGUGCUUGGGCACAUUGUAUCGUCUUCUGAGUCUGCUUAGCUGCGGGUUCCAGGAUUCCUGGGAUAUGCGACGCACUUACUGGGUGCUGCAUGCUUAGUUGAUGAGAUGUCGGUUCGUCGGUGCACUUCUAUGGCUCCUUGACCACGAUCGGUGUCGUUGAAUUGCCCUCGUUGUCAAACUGUGGAUGUAGGCCAUCACCUAUGUCCUCGGUGUGACAGCACCCCUGUGAAUGCAGGUCGCAGUUGUCAGCGGGAAGUAAUUCAGUGGACCGGGACAGCGGCCUUGGUUGCCCUUGCAUGCUCUUCUAGAUUAUGUUGGGUAUGGUUAUUUGUGUGCCUGUGCAAACUGGCCCUGUGACUACACAAUGUUGUCUAGUAGAGUAUUGUUUGGGAAACCUCCUUAUGGGCCAAAGUCAGUGGUGUGUGGUAAACUUUCUACCCGACCCGUCUUGAAACACGGACCAAGGAGUUUAACAUGUGCGCGAGUCAUUGGGCCAUCCGUAACCCAAAGGCGAAGUGAAAGUGAAGGUUUGCUUUGGCAGACUGUGGUGAGAUCCUGUCGUCUCCUGUGCCACCAAGCAUUCGAACGGCAGGCGCAUCACCGGUCCGUCCAAUAAUGUGGUUGAGAUCAUUGGUUUCACAUCAUUGGGGCGGAACAUGAGCGCACACGUUGAGACCCGAAAGAUGGUGAACUAUGCUUGCGCAGGUUGAAGCCAGGGGAAACCCUGGUGGAGGACCGCAGCGAUUCUGACGUGCAAAUCGAUCGUCAAACGUGAGUAUAGGGGCGAAAGACUAAUCGAACCAUCUAGUAGCUGGUUCCCUCC